RNAcentral lists this ribosomal RNA (416 nucleotides) under uncultured bacterium. Its description in RNAcentral is "bacterial SSU rRNA". It matches the Rfam family "Bacterial small subunit ribosomal RNA", at positions 355 to 787 of the family's 1533-position model. The record is from RNAcentral.
UGGGGAAUAUUGGGCAAUGGGCGCAAGCCUGACCCAGCAACGCCGCGUGAAGGAAGAAGGCUUUCGGGUUGUAAACUUCUUUUCUGAGGGACGAUAGUGACGGUACCUCAGGAAUAAGCCACGGCUAACUACGUGCCAGCAGCCGCGGUAAUACGUAGGUGGCAAGCGUUAUCCGGAUUUACUGGGUGUAAAGGGCGUGUAGGCGGGACUGCAAGUCAGAUGUGAAAAUCCAGAGGCUCAACCUCUGGCCUGCAUUUGAAACUGUAGUUCUUGAGUGUCGGAGAGGCAGGCGGAAUUCCGUGUGUAGCGGUGAAAUGCGUAGAUAUACGGAGGAACACCAGUGGCGAAGGCGGCCUGCUGGACAAUAACUGACGCUGAGGCGCGAAAGCGUGGGGAGCAAACAGGAUUAGAUACCC